GUGGGGAAUAUUGGGCAAUGGGCGAAAGCCUGACCCAGCAACGCCGCGUGAAGGAAGAAGGUCUUCGGAUCGUAAACUUCUAUCCUUGGUGAAGAUAAUGACGGUAGCCGAGAAGGAAGCCCCGGCUAACUACGUGCCAGCAGCCGCGGUAAUACGUAGGGGGCAAGCGUUGUCCGGAAUGAUUGGGCGUAAAGGGCGCGUAGGCGGCCUGGUAAGUCUGGAGUGAAAGUCCUGCUUUUAAGGUGGGAAUUGCUUUGGAUACUGUCGGGCUUGAGUGCAGGAGAGGUAAGUGGGAUUCCCGGUGUAGCGGUGAAAUGCGUAGAGAUCGGGAAGAACACCAGUGGCGAAGGCGACUUACUGGACUGUAACUGACGCUGAGGCGCGAAAGUGUGGGGAGCAAACAGGAUUAGAUACCCUGGUAGUCC
This 425-nucleotide ribosomal RNA is filed under the name uncultured bacterium. RNAcentral describes it as "partial 16S ribosomal RNA". It matches the Rfam family "Bacterial small subunit ribosomal RNA", at positions 354 to 796 of the family's 1533-position model. The record is from RNAcentral.